This 335-nucleotide long non-coding RNA is filed under the name Ananas comosus (pineapple). Its description in RNAcentral is "long non-coding RNA (ACOM_LNC043753)". Lineage: Eukaryota; Viridiplantae; Streptophyta; Magnoliopsida; Poales; Bromeliaceae. The record is from RNAcentral.
AAAAAUAAAUAAAAAUAGUGUGAGAAACUAUUUUUAUUGGAUUUAUAGAAGUAAAACAUAAGUCAGAAGUGACUUGUGCUGAAAUCGGAAUAAAAAUAAAAGAUUUAAAAUUUUCUGUUGGAAACGGAACAGAUAAAUUAGCAGAAAAUGCACAGUCUCAGAAAAUUAUGAAAAUUGGAGGAUAAGUCAGAAAUAUUUUUAUGAGGCUAGAUUUAAAGUUUCAUAUUUUUCUGACACCCGUAGAGUGAGAAAUAAAAUCUGACAGCUAUCUGAUAAAGAUUACAGUUUGGUACAGUUUUCGGUGACCAAAUGGGGUCGAAACUGAAACUUAAAAU